GACGAACGCUGGCGGCGUGCUUAACACAUGCAAGUCGAACGGUAAGGCCCUUCGGGGUACACGAGUGGCGAACGGGUGAGUAACACGUGGGUGAUCUGCCCUGCACUUCGGGAUAAGCCUGGGAAACUGGGUCUAAUACCGGAUAGGACCACUGCCUGCAUGGGUGGUGGUGGAAAGCUUUUGCGGUGUGGGAUGGGCCCGCGGCCUAUCAGCUUGUUGGUGGGGUGAUGGCCUACCAAGGCGACGACGGGUAGCCGGCCUGAGGGGGUGACCGGGCACACUGGGCUUGAGAUACGGCGCAGACGCAGACGGGAGGCAGGAGUGGGGAAUAUUGCACAAUGGGCGCAAGCCGGAUGCAGCGACGCCGCGUGAGGGAUGACGGACUUCGGGUUGUAAACCUCUUUCAGCACCGACGAAGCGCAAGUGACGGUAGGUGCAGAAGAAGGACCGGCCAACUACGUGCCAGCCGCCGCUGUAA
Molecule: ribosomal RNA, 478 nt
Filed under: uncultured bacterium
Lineage: Bacteria
Description: partial 16S ribosomal RNA
Rfam family: Bacterial small subunit ribosomal RNA
Source: RNAcentral